Molecule: ribosomal RNA, 253 nt
Filed under: uncultured bacterium
Lineage: Bacteria
Description: partial 16S ribosomal RNA
Rfam family: Bacterial small subunit ribosomal RNA
Source: RNAcentral
UACGUAGGGGGCUAGCGUUGUCCGGAAUCAUUGGGCGUAAAGAGCGUGUAGGCGGUCCGGUAAGUCCGCUGUGAAAGUCGGGGGCUCAACCCUCGAAUGCCGGUGGAUACUGUCGGGCUAGAGUGCGGAAGAGGCGAGUGGAAUUCCUGGUGUAGCGGUGAAAUGCGCAGAUAUCAGGAAGAACACCAAUGGCGAAGGCAGCUCUCUGGGGCGGUACUGACGCUGAGACGCGAAAGCGUGGGGAGCGAACAGG